This 46-nucleotide non-coding RNA is filed under the name Schistosoma margrebowiei. Lineage: Eukaryota; Metazoa; Platyhelminthes; Trematoda; Strigeidida; Schistosomatidae. The record is from RNAcentral.
GCACUACCGAGGAGUCCAACAUUAGGACGAAACGGUCGUCCAGUAC